GGCUCAGGAUGAACGCUGGCGGCGUGCCUAAUACAUGCAAGUCGAGCGAAUUGACAGAGAUGCUUGCAUCUCUCGAUUUUAGCGGCGGACGGGUGAGUAACACGUGGGUAACCUACCUAUAAGACUGGGAUAACUUCGGGAAACCGGAGCUAAUACCGGAUAAUAUUUAGCUUCGCAUGAAGCAAUAGUGAAAGACGGUUUUGCUGUCACUUAUAGAUGGACCUGCGGUGUAUUAGCUAGUUGGUGAGGUAAUGGCUCACCAAGGCAACGAUACAUAGCCGACCUGAGAGGGUGAUCGGCCACACUGGGACUGAGACACGGCCCAGACUCCUACGGGAGGCAGCAGUAGGGAAUCUUCCGCAAUGGACGAAAGUCUGACGGAGCAACGCCGCGUGAGUGAAGAAGGUUUUCGGAUCGUAAAACUCUGUUGUAAGGGAAGAACAAGUACGUUAGUAACUGAACGUACCUGACG
This 472-nucleotide ribosomal RNA is filed under the name Macrococcoides goetzii. RNAcentral describes it as "bacterial SSU rRNA". It matches the Rfam family "Bacterial small subunit ribosomal RNA", at positions 21 to 484 of the family's 1533-position model. The record is from RNAcentral. Lineage: Bacteria; Bacillati; Bacillota; Bacilli; Caryophanales; Staphylococcaceae.